This 468-nucleotide ribosomal RNA is filed under the name uncultured bacterium. RNAcentral describes it as "partial 16S ribosomal RNA". It matches the Rfam family "Bacterial small subunit ribosomal RNA", at positions 28 to 507 of the family's 1533-position model. The record is from RNAcentral.
GACGAACGCUGGCGGCGUGCUUAACACAUGCAAGUCGAACGGAAAGGCCCUGCUUUUGUGGGGUGCUCGAGUGGCGAACGGGUGAGUAACACGUGAGUAACCUGCCCUUGACUUUGGGAUAACUUCAGGAAACUGGGGCUAAUACCGGAUAGGAGCUCCUGCUGCAUGGUGGGGGUUGGAAAGUUUCGGCGGUUGGGGAUGGACUCGCGGCUUAUCAGCUUGUUGGUGGGGUAGUGGCUUACCAAGGCUUUGACGGGUAGCCGGCCUGAGAGGGUGACCGGCCACCUUGGGACUGCGAUACGGCCCAGACUGCUACGGGAGGCAGCAGUGGGGAAUAUUGCACAAUGGGCGGAAGCCUGAUGCAGCAACGCCGCGUGCGGGAUGACGGCCUUCGGGUUGUAAACCGCUUUCGCCUGUGACGAAGCGUGAGUGACGGUAAUGGGUAAAGAAGCACCGGCUAACUACGUG